UAAUGAAUGACAUUGUACACCUAUAUGGAAACGUUUCGUGCAGUGCUAUAGGCCACCAGAGGGGACUUGAGUAUGAAAAAAGGUGUUGUUUGUGAAUGAAUGAAUGACUAUUAGCUUAGAAGGAACGCACAAACACAAACACAAACUAUAUCUAAAUGCUUAAUUAAAUAUUUUGGUAUUUGCUCUGGGAUUGAUUUUUGGGCUGAAAUUUUACUCACAUUUGAAAUUUACUAUUAUUUGAAUGUUCUUCAAGGGCUGAGGGAAAGCAUGUCAACCAGUGUCUGAUGGUUCUUGCUUUAUAUGCAUCCAUCCACCUUGCUUAUGAGUUUGUUAACCAUCCUCAGGUGAUGGUUAAAAGACAGAGAAGUAGUAGAAUGUUGAGUUAAUGUACUCUGAUUCUGAAUGGAAAUCUGGCUACUGCAAAUCCAUUGUUUUUAGGCUCUAAUUUUAUUUUUAACUUUCUUUUGUCUCUUGAAAAGGCCGCUGAAAUGAGAAAAUUAGCUGAAAUCAGUUAUGUUAUGAAAUGCCAGCAGCAGUAAACCUGUACGUUCCUCCAGAAUCGUAAUACUGUAGCGGGGGACAAGAUUUGUUUGUUAUGUUAUAAACCUAAAACAAAUAGGACUUACUCCGACUCCUUUGGGAUAGGGCUGACCUAAACAUAUUAAUUAUUCCUGUUUCCUAAGGAGACAACAUAGGCUUUCCUUCAUUGGAUAAUCCUGCUUUCUCAGAAAACACAAAGACAUGUUCCAAUACCCAGUUAGCAGAGGCAGGCAGGAACUCUUUAGCGGUUAGAGAAGUGGCAGAAGGUUAAAUCAUCUGACUUGGAUGUUAUGUUGAUUGUUUAUUCAUAGUGUACAGUAACAUCUUAAAAAAAAAAGGAAGAAGCAGCAGCAAAGUGGGUGUAUUCAUGUCUGGAAAAACAGAGCUGACAAGUUAAAGACGAUCUGAAUGUCUUAAGGUGAGACCAAAGUGCUUCAUUUAUAAUGGAGAUUACGGUAAGGAACAAAUGAAGUUGUCUAAAUGUCUCUUGAGCCUUUAUUCUGGUUUGGCCACAAGUUAAUAUUGCAACCAGCACUUAACAACAAAAUGCAGGGUUGUAUUAUCUUUUAGGAAAUGCCAGUCAUGUGCAAUCCAAACAGGUCAAUUACCAGCAAUUCUCUGAAGAUCUCCUGAAACCUCAGAAGAGUUACAGAUGCCAAGAUGAUGUCUAGGAUGCACAGAGGAGCAGAAAUAGGGCACAAAACAAUUUGCAGAAACGGAACUUAACCCUGAGAGGGAAGAACUACGCCUGAUUUCCAUUUCAUUAAAUAUUUAUGGAGACACAUACAUACAAUGUGAUUCUAAAUUAUAGAAAAAACAUGAAUGGAACUGGUUCUGUCUCACUCACACUUAGGUUUAACGUCUUUCUUUCAACAGAGAGCCAUUGCCAAAAUCAAGAUGCUGGGGAACAUCAAUUUACUGGGAGAAAGUAGCAAGCUUGACUUAUUCAUGAAUCUAUCUGCAGAAGUGCAUUAAAAAAGUUUUAGAAAAAAAAGACAGAACUAAGAAACAAGUACAUUUUUUCUGCUACUCAUGUCUUACACAUUUUAAAAUGAACAGCUUACCUGGAAUCAGAACAUUGAAAAUAAAAAUGUCUGUAGGUAAGCACACGUAGGUAGGCGUAGGUACGUUGUACUCCCACUCACAUAAGCACAUACUUGGGUGCCUGAACCUAGCAGAGAAGAGCACAUAACCUGAACUAUAUAGUGCCAAAAGUAGACUAAGACAUGCACACACUGAACCAGAGUGCUCAAGCUUACACCUAUGGAAAUAGGAAUUUGCUUACUUAAAAUACAGUAUGUCUCCCAAAAAUGAAAAUAUAACUCUAAAUAAGUAUACAUUUCUAAGCCAUAAGAGGACUGGUAGGGAGCAGAAAUCAUAUCUAUCAUUUUCCUUUUCUGAACUAUUUCCUUGUAUGGCCUGUUUUUUUUUAAAUAACUCAGAGAGAGAUGAGCAGCAGAAAUCAUGCCUUCUUGUACAUACACUCAAAAACAACUGGAAAUCUGGUUCCUGGCUUAGGUGUGUGACACGUGUAUGUACUAACAUCACACAGGCUUUCACAUACCCUGCCCCCAACACUCCUCUGUUUCCAAGUGUCUGUGUUUCAUUAUGCACCCUUGCUGAAAGUGAUGGCAAACAACUAUGCAGAAAAAAAGUAUUAAAAAACAAACAAACAAACAAACAAAAAACAGGAAGAUCAGUUGUUAAGAGAUAAAUUUAAAGCCAAUAUUACCUUUUGGAAUCACAGUUAAUCAAAUGCUGUACAUGAAAGAGCAAAGGCCAGAUUCCGUUCAGAUUUUAGCACUACUAAGAAUCUGAAAAAAAAUUGUUGUUACCCCAUUUGUGAGUGCCACAGAAGAUUCUGCCAUUUUUCCUGCAAUAGAAUGGCACGAAAUAAUACAUCUUUGAAUUCCAAGAGCUUGUUUCUUAUUGCAGAUUCUCAUUUCACAACUAAGAUGAGCUGAACUCUUCACCUGCUCCCCAAAGGGAGAGGGGGUGCCCUGCAAGCAGCCAGAUGGCUCCUGAGGAAGGUCACCAGAAAUGUUCGUGCCUACAUAUUUUUGCACAAACUGCUUCCGAGCCGCUCUCCCACUCUUUUAAUAGGAAUUUUAUCACGUUUUUGAUUCUUGGCCAGUUUCAACGUGGCUGAAUUAAUUUCACAUGAAAAAGCGUGGAAGCAGCGGUCUCAGUUCCCCUGGAUAAACACUGGGCUACGUGCUGCUUCUGUUUGACCAUUGGGAAGUCCGGCCAGGCAAGACAUAAAUCUUUUGUCAGUGAAAGGGGUACAUUAUCAGCUUCUCAGCUGUUUCUUUUCUAAACAGUUACCUGAGGUUUAAGAUAAAUAUUCCACAUGUUUAUUUUAAAUAUAUAUAUAUAAAUAACAAAAUGACCAGAGCACCGGAAUUACUUUCUCCCCUACAACCAUCCCUCCGAUUGCAAUUGGAUCUCAACCUCGUGCAGAUACCUGUGGUAACCUGAAAUGGUUGCCUGUUAGGAAUUCAAUAGAAGUUGAAUGUGAUAACCUUUUCUCACACUAAUUAGUUAACAAUCACUUACGGAAUGACUUACUUAUUAAGUGGCAGAAGAGGAAGCAUCACCUGGUCACGUAUAAAGGCAAAACCUUCACUAAAAUGAGAGCUUAAUAGUGUCAUAAAGAUGUAUGCGACCAGUGUGAGGAACUGGAGGCCACUGCUGGAAGCUGCUUUGGUACGUGAUGGGUUCAGAACUCGAAGUCUGAAAACUACAGCUCAGAACAAAUCCAUUUGAGUGAGUAGAAACAGAAAACUAACUAAAACCACAGUGUCUGUAGGAGCUGUAGAUAAGAUUAUAUAUAUCAUAUUGAGAGAGGUCCUCAGAGGAAAAUAACAAGAUCUCACUGUAAAAACAUCAGCUACAAUAACAAAGGGAAAAGGCUUGCAAGUGCAUAGAUCUUUUUAUAUACAAUUUUGGAAAACCAAACUGUGCCUCCAUCAUCUGUUGUAUUUUUGUUGCAGAAUGGGUUUUAACCCAUUUGUAUGGUUUUAGGAUCAAUAAACAUUAUCCAAGACAAGUAUAAAACAAGCAGCACCUCAUGCAGCACAUUCACUGGAAUUUCCAGUGUAUUUUUGCCAUUUUCUGCUGGGGUCACAGGUAGAGCGAUGGUUAGAAAACAAUAUGGCAGGAAACUCCUGAUGCUAAGCAUUUGAGUUACGUAUCACAGACAGCCUCAAAUUCUCUGACUUUUUAGAUUUAAAUCUUCUCAAAGUUUUCCUGAAGAUUUUGGCACAUUUUCUGCAAGAUAUGCAUGACAAAGACAGAAGAGUCAUGGAGGACUCACGCCCUCUGUUAUUGUUUAAAUGCUGACACUUAUGGUUUAAAUUUGCAAAGAACGAAUCAUUCUACAUCAAAACUAAGGUGCUGCAUGUUUAUUUACAGACCAAGCUCCAGUAGUAAUGUGUAUUCGUCAUGUGAACUGAUUUGAAUUGAAUUCUAAACCCUGUUUUGCACCAGGAAAACAUGAGCUUCAUUUUACUUGUCUCUGUUUUCAAUUAUAAUUUGACAAAAGAAAUAACUGCGCUACCUAUUUGAUUUGCCAGAACUUUAUCCCAGCACCACCUGUUGAGCCCUCGGCGCUCAAAUCCUGACAUAUAGCAGAGAACCAAAUUAUGCAGUUGGCACACUGACUAGUAAGGAUGCCAACAAAAGCAUAAUACAUCCUUUGUACUCAAAGUACAACAAAAUAUAUAUUAAGCUACCAACUGCAAAGGUUUCAGAAAACCACAUUUAAUUAUACAGGAACAUAUCUUUCCAACAAAUAACUCAGUAGAAAAAUGGCAUGGAAGUUAGAAAGGACGCUUCUUGUAUGAUUUGCACAGGUAAAUACUGCAAGCUUAAAAUAAAUGAAGUUUCACAAUACCUUAGUAGAUUUACGUUAGAGAUGGCAAGGGGAUAGCCAGCUAGUUUAUACAAACAGAUGUAUUCAAUGCUAUCAACUUCUCAGUUUAAAUAACAUGUCACACGUUCAUUUCUGGUGGGGUAGCUGACCGAGCACAGCAGAAGGACUCUUAGCACUCAUCCCAAUCAAAUCCCUUCUAUUGCCAGUGACUGGGGCUGAAGUAUUAAAAAUCAGCUGUGUUUCCAAAGUUUACUUCUUUAAAGCACCUCUUUGCCACAAAAGUCCUCACAAUUGCUUUCCUAGAAGAAGGAUAGGAUGGGUCAGUGGGGAUGAGGCAAAGCUGCCCCUUCAGGUCUGCAGAGGUCUCCUCCCUCGACCUGCUGGCCAUGCUCUUUUUAAUGUGCCCCAGGAUACCAUUGGCCUUUGUGGCCUCAAGGGCACACUGCUGACUCACAGCCAACCUGUUGACCACCAGUACACCCAGGACCUUCUCUGCACAUGUCUUUUCCAGCAGAUCAGCCCCAAACUGUACUGAUACAAGUGCUUAUUCCUCCUCAGGUGUAGGACUCUGCACUUGCCCUUGUUGAACCUCAUCACGAUCCCCUCUGCCCAACUCUGCAGCCUGCCCAGGUCUCACUGAACGACAGCACAACCGUCUGGUGUGUCAGCCACUCCCAGAUUUGUAUCAUCACACAACUUGCUGAGGAUGCUGUCCAUGCAUUCAUCCAGUUUACUGAUGAAGAUGUUCAACAAGACUGGACUCAGUACCGAUCCUGUGAAAACACCAACUAGGAUUGCGCUACUGAUCCUAACCCUCUGUGCUGUGCCAUCAGCCAGUUCUCAGUCUGCCUUACUGUCCAGUCAUCUGUUCCACAACUCCUAACUUCAACCAUGAGGAUGUUAUGGGAGAUAGUGUCAAAAGCCUCACUAAAGUCAAGGUAGACAACAUUCACUGCUCUCCUCUCAUCUAUCCAGCCAGUCACAACAUCACCCAAUAUUUUACUAGAUUAACUUUUGCAAUCUAAGCUAGUUAGAUGAUUAUUAUCACUGUAGACUCAUACAAGCCUAAAUGUACCUCCCAUCACCAAACAACUAUCUUCUUAGAUAUGAUUUUUGGACAGUACAUACACAACCAAGAAAGUGAAUGAACUCUGAAAGUGGAGCAUUUCAAACUGUAUCCAGAAAAAAGUAAGAAUAUUUUUGCAUAUGAAUUCGUUUAACCAGUACCUUGCAGUAACCAGCAUUCAGCAGAGGCUCCCCAUUUGAGGGUUCAACUUGACUGGCUGCAGCCUUGAGCGAUCUGACGUAGUGAGACCUUCUUUGAGCAGGGCGUGGAUUGAGGUGACAUCAAGAGUUCCUGUCCAGCCUGAAGUGUUCUGUGAUUCUAAAACUGACCUGAAGAAAUUAGAAAUAUUUUCCUUGAAGAUGCUAUUAAAUUAACAUUUAUGACAUUCAAUUUCAUUUCUUAUUUAUAUAAAAAAGGCUGAAACUUUGUAUUUGCUAUUUAUAAUUGUUUGUAGGUAAUAUUUUCAUAAUAAUUAUGUGCAAAAGAACUUAUUAUUAUUUAUUUAACUUUUGUUUAAGGUUUGAAUAAAACAGAAAAAGUAAAUUUAUUAAUCCAUAAGUGGCCAUACUAAAGCACACUGGGUGCCUCUGGUAUAAACCCCACUAUCCAAGGAGAGAUGUUCAGCUAAAACUCUAAAAUGGUGGUUUGAAACAUACGCUGAUAUCUUUAAUUCUUCUAUGCUGGAAAUGUAAAAUGACAAUUGCUAAUGAGAAAAACCUCCCUGCUAAGUUGUAAUAACAACUUUAAGAACACUUGCUAAGAGAUAGACCACAUUGAGGAAAGCCAAAUCUAGUUGAUCUCACCUUCUCAAUUUCAAAUAUCCUUUGUGGUAAUUACAUUUCAUUUAGAAAAAUAAGUCUGAAGGAAGUGCACGCAUGGCAGGUAGUUUGGCAUCGGCCACUUCUACAGUUCUCAGAUGUGUCGCAGCCAAGAAAAUGUUCCAGAAUUUAAUUCUUUUCAGAUAGUUGAGCUCAUGUAAACUUUACUCUUGAUGAGGACUACAGAUGAAAUAUCUGGAUGGUGUUCCAAAUAAGGCAUUAAAUGCCUCCUACAAUAGAACCCAUCACGUUCUCCCAAUUUCUCCCUUGUUUAAAGUAAUUACAAAUCAUGCUGUGGAACUCUGAUGAUGUUUAUGGAAAACAAGUAAGAAAAUUCAUUCCAGAAAAGCCUGAGUUGUUUUCUGCCUACCAUGGUUUCUCCAUCACACCCGUUCUUUGGCUGCAUUUCAAGUAGCCUCACAAAGACACAGAAAAGAUAAUGAAAAUUCUUGAACUCUUUCUUGUCUGCCAGAGGUGCAGGAAAGCUGCAGACACAUAGAUCAGCAUCCUCAGAGCUCUACCAGUGGUUUCUGUCCCUCCGAUGAGCUCUAGGAAACAUUAGGAACCCACCUGGACUGUCUGAGGUUAGUACUUCAGGUUUAAAUUGAAAUUUUUGCAUGUAAAACAGCCACAAAAGGUAUAUUACAGAGAGCUCUGCGAAAGGCAGCACCGUUUGAGACAAUCUUUGAGGUCUGCUCUGAGUAACCCGAAUACCUCAGAUAUAUACAGCCUUAUUGUCAUCCAACAUUAUUGCUGUUAGUCCCUUGUAUUAUCACAGAAGAUGGCAUUUACUGUUGAACUUAACAAAAUUAUUUUGAAGAAUUAAUAAUUCUGGAACUAAGCAUCCAUGGUUCUUACCUCAGCUUAGUCUGAAGCACUGCUCCAACUGGCUGCCUCUGUUUCGCAGCACGUUUCUCAUACUGAGUAUUCUCAUAGCACAGACGUAUCCUCUAGUUGAAACCAGUGACGUGGGGGAUCCUCUCACUUUAAGCCUGAGUCUACCUGUCACUGACUGAAGGGCACUGAGGUCAGUUGACUUAAAAAGACUAAUUUGUAAUCCGCGCCUGCUGAAGGGAUAAGUAAAUCCAAAGAGAGAGGCUCAUAAAUUCCCAGAAAGAUCUUGGUAUCAUAACAAUAGAUCUGACAGCACUCUAAAGUUUGGCCUCCGUCUUGACAAAGAGGAAUCACAACCAGUCUCGGUGUAGUUCCCCAGCAGGAGAUAGUUGUUAAAGUGCUGUCAAGCAGCCUGUGCCCUCCUCAUCUCAUGGCAACUUGGCAUCAACCCCUCUGCCAGCUUCCACCAACACUGAGAUAACAGCACACCUCCAAUAAUAGAUGUGGGAGAAAAGAAGAACAAGGUGUGCUUUCAUACUUUGCCAUUUACUUACCUGCAUCUCCUUUUUACAUCAUCAUUUAAGGAGAUACUUCCACAUAAGUGGUCUCAGGGCAGGGCACAGACCGGCGAUUUAUAAAAAAAUACCAGAAUUUGAAUAGGAUUCGAUUAAAAACUGCUGUAUGAGCUGAAUGCACUUCGGAAUUAAUCUUGGUGUACUUUUUUCUGAACCACCUAUUAAAGCUCUACAUCGAGAAUAAUAUUCACUACUGCCUUCUACUGAGUUUUUGCUGGAACUUGUCCUGUUCUGCUUCCUGCCCAUCAUAAUCACAUCAUCUCUCCUGCAACCAGAGCCUUUCAGUUCUGGAAACUGGCUGAGAUCGACCCAGUAAUGUGCACCCAAAGGAAAGUAAUUUCCUGCCUUGAAUAAGUUCUGCAUUCAGAAGAAUUUAAUGUCACUGUCAUCCUCAGAGCUGGCAGGAGGAGCCACCAGUUUGCUGACCAAGGCUGCCAGUGAGGCACACGCUGUGCUGAGGGGCGCUAGCAAGGGUGGUGAUUCCAUCUGGCAGCACCCAACGCUGCCUGUUUGUGUUGGCCCUUGCCCAUUUCAGCAGCUAUACGGCCUAGGCAAUCUCAGGAAUGGUCAUGAAAUUAUUACCUUAAAUUGUCUUCAAAGAGUAGUCCAGAUUUAUGAUUGUCUUAAAGCACAUAAACACAUUUGAGCACAUUUUACCCAUUUCAAGGGAUACGCAACACACAAGGGGAGUUUUUCCCUUCCUUCUUAGGGCUGUAAAAACAAAACCAGGACGCUUCUUGCCAAACUGGCUCAAAGUCUGCAUGGAUUUGGUUGGACAGAUACAGUGGAAAACUAUACCCAGUCUUUUGAGUACCGGCCUGUGCACCUCCUUACAUCUCAGUACUGUCAGCUUCUAAUGCAAGAUCUCCAGCAAAAGUUUGCUUUUGUUUGGAUUUCAUGUUUAAAAAAUAAACCGUAUGAAACUGGUUGUCAUUUUGGAUCUGUAAAACACAGCCAUUUUAUCUCACUGGAAACAGUAGCGGAGGAUUUCUGCUCUGCUCUUCUCGAUGACGCUCUCAUAGGGUUUUCCAUCCCC
Molecule: long non-coding RNA, 8743 nt
Organism: Gallus gallus (chicken)
Lineage: Eukaryota; Metazoa; Chordata; Aves; Galliformes; Phasianidae
Source: Ensembl